Molecule: non-coding RNA, 419 nt
Organism: Meleagris gallopavo (turkey)
Lineage: Eukaryota; Metazoa; Chordata; Aves; Galliformes; Phasianidae
Source: RefSeq, a predicted model, not a curated record
GCUCUGGGCCGCUUUGUCGACAGCUCCCAGGUGACGGCGGAGCUGGAGGGCACCUUCCCCUACUGCCACGGCGAGUGGGUGCAAUUCUUCCAGAGGCUGCAGCCCUUCACCGCCAGUCUUGGACGGGCAUUGGAGCUGCUGCAGAGCUGCAUCCAGGAGCUUCAGAGCACUGACGGUGGGGCUGUCCCAGGGAAGGAGGUGUCCCCUCAGUGCCCGUGCCAGUCCCGCUUCCUCCAAAGCCCAGCUCUUUGCCUCCAUCACAUGUUCCAUCCCCAGCACAUUCCCAACUCACUGCCCCCCAGCCACCACUUAGCAGCAGCUCCUCCUGGAGCUGUCCUGCUCCCAGCUCACCUGCCCACGGUCAGUUUCCCAACGAUGUGGCCAGAUUUCACAUCAAUGGUGGCGGACACGUUGCCUGU